GAUGAAGAACGCAGCGAAAUGCGAUAAGUAAUGUGAAUUGCAGAAUUCAGUGAAUCAUCGAAUCUUUGAACGCACAUUGCGCCCGCCAGUAUUCUGGCGGGCAUGCCUGUUCGAGCGUCAUUUCAACCAUCAAGCCCCAGGCUUGUGUUGGGGACCUGCGGCUGCCGCAGGCCCUGAAAACCAGUGGCGGGCUCGCUGUCACACCGGGCGUAGUAGAUUUUAUCUCGCUCAGGGCGUGCUGCGGGUUCCGGCCGUUAAAGAGCCUUUUUUACCCAAGGUUGACCUCGGAUCAGGUAGGAAUACCCGCUGAACUUAAGCAUAUCAAUAAGCGGAGGA
RNAcentral lists this unclassified non-coding RNA (336 nucleotides) under soil metagenome. RNAcentral's name for it is "partial contains 5.8S ribosomal RNA, internal transcribed spacer 2, and large subunit ribosomal RNA". The stretch from base 1 to 120 matches the Rfam family "5.8S ribosomal RNA", at positions 35 to 154 of the family's 154-position model. The record is from RNAcentral.